CUGAGCGGAGGGGCUCUACCUGGUUCCACUGUCUAGGUGAAAGGAAGUUUCCGCCUUUCUGGAGAAAGGCGGAAAGCCAAUUCCUCCUCUCACUAUAGUGUACUUUGCUACUGAACCUAAGGACGCCUCUCCUCCUACACAUUUAUCUUACACUCUUCCUCCAUGAGAUUCUGCCUCACCUUGGACCCAGAGCAAUGGAGUUGGCCAUCUAUGGACAGAGAUUUCUGAAACCGAAUGUACUGCAACAGAUCCCCAAUUCCUCCACCCUCUGAAAGUGUCUCACAGAAAAUUCCUUCAGUCAAAGAAGUUUCUAAUUCCAGAAAACUUUUGUGGUCUUGUUCCCAGACUGGCAGAUUUCACCAGGAAAAAUACAUCACCAUAUCCAGUUUCUGGACUAACAAGUCAAUUCCAGCCAUCAUGGCCCAAGUGGGGCUCAGAAAGCUUCAGACCUCCAAGAAGAUUCCUUUACUAUGCCCCAGAUUUUUACUCUCUCCUCAUUAUUUUUCUUACUGAAGCUACAGCCAGAUCUCUUUCCUUUCUUUCUCCACAAAAUGUCUUUAAAAUACUCCUCACUUAUUAUGUUUGUAUUUCAUCUCUACUCCUUUUUGCCUCUCCCUACAUUUACUUCUGUAGCCUAUUAUGUUUGGUUUGGUUUGUUUUGGGUACCUGGGAUUGAACCCAGUAGUGCUAAAUCACUGAGUCACACACUUUAAAAAAAAAAAAAUUGAAA
Molecule: long non-coding RNA, 730 nt
Organism: Marmota monax (woodchuck)
Lineage: Eukaryota; Metazoa; Chordata; Mammalia; Rodentia; Sciuridae
Exons: 2
Source: RefSeq, a predicted model, not a curated record